AUAUAUUAUAGACAUAUUUGACUGCAACUGCCCUGACAUGCACAGCCAACUCGUAGCACAGCAUGUGCCACAUCUUUGCGCAUAGACUUGAAUUGUCUGAGUGGGUCUCCCAGAACUGUCUCCAUGAGCCCCUGAAACGUUGCGGGAGCAUUUUUGAGCCCAAACCUUUGAGCCUGCAGGAGUGAUGAAGUGAUGAAAUGAUGACGGCUGCUCCUAACGCCAUACAGACUUCAUAUAAAUCCAUAAUGAACUUUUUCACACUAACUGUUGUUACCCAGAUGAGGAUGGGUUCCCUUCUGAGUCGGGUUCCUCUCAAGGUUUCUUCCUCUUAAAACAUCUUAGGGAGUUUUUCCUUGCCACCGUCGCCACUCAGUGGCUUGCUCAGUUGGGAUAAAUUCGCACCUUUAAUAUCUGUAUACCAUGUUGAUAUUUCUGUAAAGCUGCUUUGAGACAAUGUCUAUUGUAAAAAGCGCUAUACAAAUAAAAUUGAAUUGAAUUGAAUUGAAUUGAAUGAAGGCCAUCUUGGCUUUGCUGUUGACAAAACACAAUACAAUCUCAAAGAUCAGCGAUAACCAUUAAGCUUCCAUUAAGCUUAAAACAAUGAAUUAGCACGGAUAAGAAAUAAACCAAUGUGUGAAUGGGAAUGAAGUGUGGGUGUGUCUGAGUGUGUGAAUGAGUGUUGGUGUGAGAUCGCGGCGUCCGGGCACACUGACCGAUUUGGAGGAUGGGAUGGCAACUGGAGAAUGUAAUCAGCCCUCGUCAGGCUCCAAGAAGGGAGGUAACAGGCCUUGAACUUGUCUUUGAACAGCUCACCACGAACAGCCAUUUGUACAAGUGCUCUGUGUCGCACUGGACUGCAUGCACAGAAAGCAUUAGAUCAAAAGCGGCCGUCUCCCCACUCCACACAGUAACCAUAUCUUUUCCUCUCACUUGACAACCUUCUCACGAGCCAAGCCAACCUCGACUGGUGCCCGUCCUCUUUUCACCUCAUAGGUGAAAUAGGCCUCGCCUCCAUUUCCCUUUCUGCAGUUAAUUGACUUACUCCACCCUAUCCGUUAAAGGUAAAAGUGAAAAAUAACCAUUGCACAUUCCCGUAUAGUUUACUGCACUGUCACACUGUGUCAAAAGUCAGCAGUUGAAAGCCCCAGCGCUGCCAAGCAGCCAAUGUUGGGCCCUUAAGCAAGGCCCUUAAUCCUGUCUGCUCUAAGGGUGCUGUAUUAUGGUUGAUUGUGUGCUCUGAUCCCAGAUUGUUAAAAAGAAAUAUAUGCUUUUAUAUGUGAUGAAAGAAUUUCAUUUACUGUGAUGUAUGUGGUAUGUGACAAAUAAAG
This is a long non-coding RNA of Ictalurus punctatus (channel catfish), 1328 nucleotides long. Lineage: Eukaryota; Metazoa; Chordata; Actinopteri; Siluriformes; Ictaluridae. The record is from Ensembl.